Camelina sativa (false flax) is the source of this 1215-nucleotide non-coding RNA. The record is from RefSeq and is a predicted model, not a curated record. NCBI's taxonomy places the organism in Eukaryota, Viridiplantae, Streptophyta, Magnoliopsida, Brassicales, Brassicaceae.
UAACAUUUCACUUUACAAUGUUUGGUAAACAAUAACAAAAAAAAAUUAUAACGAAAAAAAAGGUCUCGAGCAACCAUCUUCUUCUCCUCUCUCUAUACUCGAUGUCUCCGAUCUACACAUCCACCGUCACCAUCGCUUUAAAUGAACCGUCUCCCGCACCCUCCUCCCCUUCGGCCAUCUCCUCCUCCGACCCACCUCACCCAAACCCUAAUCACCUUCAAUCUAACAUGCAUGCCUUUCUCACCUAUGAAACUCGAAUUGAAGAUUUCCCUUCAACAAGCUAGUUGUCUUCAGCACGAAAACGUCUUGGGUCCAGCUGUACAAUUCCGCACAAAGAAGCUGCGUUGCAAUGUUGUGACGAGGUUGAUCCAUUGGCAAAAGUCUGGUUUCCUAAUAACCACCAGAUAAUUUAGGUAGUAAUCCUAAUCACUAUUAGAUAGAAUAUAAAUAGCCAUAUUGUUUCACCCUGAAUGCUUGAUUUAUAUUUUCUUAAAGUCUAUAGGAGUCGUGAACACUAUACUAAGAAGAAAAAGCGAUGGAAAGUUGGUAGGUUACUACAAUGAUUGUAUUGGUUCCAUUUCUUCUAUUGAGGAUGGCCUACGAAGCUCAAGUGAUCCAAGCAGUGAACCUUCUUCUUCUUCGCCAUUAGCUGGUAAAACAGUGGUGGUUAUUGGUGCUGGUGGAGCAGGCAAGGCACUUGCUUAUGGUGCAAAAGAAAAGGGGGCCAAAGUUGUAAUUGGUAAUCGAACUUACGGGACAAUCCGAGACUCGACCCUCAACAGUCUCAUUCUCAUCUUCAUUUGUGUGUUGGUAUAUUUAUGUUUGCUUCUGUUGAUGAUGUGUAUGUUUUGUUGCCACUAUUGACGAGAUCAUGUUCAUGAGGUAUAGAGCAAAGAAGAGACAAAUUAACUCUUCUAUGAUUCACAACUUUCAGGUGUGUGUGUGUGUGGAAACUAUGCAGUUUGUUGACGACUUUCAAAGGUAUUAGAAGCACAGUGAGCAGCUGAAAAGAAAUACUUACGUUCAUUAUCACGGAGUGUAUCAAAGGUUGUUAAGGAUGCUGGUGUUAUUCUUCCAAAACUUUUAAGUUACAAAAAUUAGUUAUUUAUUUUAUGUAAUAUAACUAUGUAUGUAAAAUCUGUUUUGUGGAAUGCAUGUUCUCCAUAAUUUAUAUAAUAUUUUUAUAUAUAAAUCCCAUUAAAUAAAUUUUGUAAA